UAAGCCUCCCUGUGCUCACUGUG
Molecule: unclassified non-coding RNA, 23 nt
Filed under: Mus musculus (house mouse)
Lineage: Eukaryota; Metazoa; Chordata; Mammalia; Rodentia; Muridae
Description: oocyte_clustered_small_RNA12405
Source: RNAcentral